AUUUGCUGUUCUCCAUCCUUCUCUUCCCAACAGGUGCUGAGUUUGUUUCCCAUUCAGUGGCUGCUGUUUGCCUCAUGGUCUUUGGCAUCUGCCUUGCAAUCUCCAAGUGAGCCAGUGAGGUCUUCUUUGGUGCCCAGCCACUUCUAAUCAAACAAGCAUGUUUCUGGGGGAUGGCAAAGGCAGAAACUGUCACAAUUCCAGGCAAACCAAGUCAGGGUUUAGUGCUGCUGGACUGCUGCAGGUUGAGGAGUCUUUAAAGCCCAGGUCAAAUGUGCAGCUUAAGUUGUGGUUGAAGAGACCCAAUACCAGCUUGCUAGAAGGAGGCUGGGCUGUGAUCUGAGACCCGCUAAUGCAGUUCCACUGAGACAAUACUUGAGAGGUAAAUGAAGUGAUACUCAGAUAUGUAAAUGCAAUUGUGAUUGGUUUUAAAUGAGACUUUACAUAUCAUGAGAAGUCAGAGGCUGAAUAUGUGGGCUGGGUGAUGGACUCAGGUAUUUGGGCACGUUUCUUUGAAGAAACAGUCCUGGUGCAUGCACACUGUACUUAGCAUCCAAUUAUUUAUGCCUAAAUAUAUGAAAUUUGGCUGUCCUUGAGUACCUGAUUCAUGCCUAGCACAAUGUCAGGACUGAGAGGGUACAUGGAAAGGGAAAACAUUGCAAUGGGAAGGAAAAGAUGGUGGAGCUGUUAAACCAGUAGGCUCCUGGAUUCUUACAUUCUUCCUGAGAGCUUUUUAAGAUUUGGGAGUUACAAAGAAGGAGUUAAUUUAAGGUCUUUAAAAAGUUUCCUGAAAGUCCAAUAAGUCCUUUCAUCAUACAGCUAUUCUAUAUUUAGGA
Molecule: long non-coding RNA, 833 nt
Filed under: Cyanistes caeruleus (blue tit)
Lineage: Eukaryota; Metazoa; Chordata; Aves; Passeriformes; Paridae
Description: lncRNA (ENSCCEG00000021508.1)
Source: RNAcentral